UACAGGCUUAACACAUGCAAGUCGAGGGGCAGCAUGAGAUUAGCUUGCUAAUCUUGAUGGCGACCGGCGCACGGGUGAGUAACGCGUAUCCAACCUUCCCCUUAGUAGGGCAUAGCCCGGCGAAAGUCGGAUUAAUACCCUAUGUUGUAUAUUGAGGACAUCUGAUUUAUACUAAAGAUUUAUCGCUAAGGGAUGGGGAUGCGUCUGAUUAGGUGGUAGGCGGGGUAACGGCCCACCUAGCCGACGAUCAGUAGGGGUUCUGAGAGGAAGGUCCCCCACAUUGGAACUGAGACACGGUCCAAACUCCUACGGGAGGCAGCAGUGAGGAAUAUUGGUCAAUGGGCGAGAGCCUGAACCAGCCAAGUAGCGUGCAGGAAUGACGGCCCUAUGGGUUGUAAACUGCUUUUAUAUGGGGAUAAAGUUCACCACGUGUGGUGUUUUGCAGGUACCAUAUGAAUAAGGACCGGCUAAUUCCGUGCCAGCAGCUGC
This 489-nucleotide ribosomal RNA is filed under the name uncultured bacterium. Its description in RNAcentral is "bacterial SSU rRNA". It matches the Rfam family "Bacterial small subunit ribosomal RNA", at positions 41 to 518 of the family's 1533-position model. The record is from RNAcentral.